ACGAACGCUGGCGGCGUGGAUUAGGCAUGCAAGUCGAACGAGGAUAUAUCCUUCGGGAUAUAAGCCGAGUGGCGCAAGGGUGAGUAAUGCAUAGAUUACCUGCCUCUAGGAUAAGGACAACUUUGUGAAAACGAAGCUAAUACUUAAUAAUACAAAAGAAAAUAAUUUUCUUUUGUCAAUGGGAGGGUAGCAAUACCUUUUGCCUAGAGAGGGGUUUAUGUCCUAUCAGCUUGUUGGUGGGGUAAUGGCCUACCAAGGCGAAGACGGGUAGCCGGUCUUAGAGGAUGGUCGGCCACACUGGGACUGAGACACUGCCCAGACUUCUACGGAAGGCUGCAGUCGAGAAUCUUUCGCAAUGCCCGAAAGGGUGACGAAGCGACGCCGCGUGAGUGAGGAAGGCCUUCGGGUUGUAAAGCUCUGUCAGGAGUUAAGAAAUAUAAGUGUGCUAAUACCACAUUUAUUUGACGAAGGCUCCAAAGGAAGCCACGGCUAACUCUGUGCCAGCAGCCGCGGUAAUACAGAGGUGGCAAGCGUUGUUCGGAAUUAUUGGGCGUAAAGAGCACGUAGGUGGGUUUGUAAGUCAGAUGUGAAAGCCUUCUGUUCAACGGAAGAAUUGCAUCUGAAACUGCGAGUCUUGAGUGUAGGAGGGGAGAAUGGAACUUCUGGUGGAGCGGUGAAAUGCGUAGAUAUCAGAAGGAACGCCGGCGGCGAAAGCGAUUCUCUGGCCUAUUACUGACACUCAGUGUGCGAAAGCUAGGGGAGCAAACGGGAUUAGAUACCCCGGUAGUCCUAGCCGUAAACGAUGGGCACUAAGUAGAGGGAAUUACCGAUGUUCUCUCUGCCGUAGCUAACGCAUUAAGUGCCCCGCCUGGGGAGUACGGCCGCAAGGCUAAAACUCAAAAGAAUUGACGGGGGCUCGCACAAGCGGUGGAGCAUGUGGUUUAAUUCGACGCAACGCGAAGAACCUUACCUGAACUUGACAUGCACGGGACCGCUCUAGAAAUAGAGUUUCUCUUCGGAGCCCGUGUGCAGGUGCUGCAUGGCUGUCGUCAGCUCGUGUCGUGAGAUGUUGGGUUAAGUCCCGCAACGAGCGCAACCCCUACCUUUAGUUGCCAUCGGGUCAUGCCGGGGACUCUAGAGGGACUGCCGGUGAUAAACCGGAGGAAGGUGGGGAUGACGUCAAGUCCUCAUGGCCUUUAUGUCCAGGGCUACACACGUGCUACAAUGGCAGGUACAAAGGGUUGCAAAGCCGCAAGGUGGAGCUAAUCUCAAAAAGCCUGUCUCAGUUCGGAUUGGAGUCUGCAACUCGACUCCAUGAAGUUGGAAUCGCUAGUAAUCGUGGAUCAGCUUGCCACGGUGAAUACGUUCCCGGGCCUUGUACACACCGC
This 1388-nucleotide ribosomal RNA is filed under the name uncultured prokaryote. Its description in RNAcentral is "partial 16S ribosomal RNA". It matches the Rfam family "Bacterial small subunit ribosomal RNA", at positions 29 to 1393 of the family's 1533-position model. The record is from RNAcentral.